RNAcentral lists this ribosomal RNA (525 nucleotides) under Streptomyces olivaceus. RNAcentral's name for it is "bacterial SSU rRNA". It matches the Rfam family "Bacterial small subunit ribosomal RNA", at positions 101 to 639 of the family's 1533-position model. The record is from RNAcentral. Lineage: Bacteria; Bacillati; Actinomycetota; Actinomycetes; Kitasatosporales; Streptomycetaceae.
AACGGGUGAGUAACACGUGGGCAAUCUGCCCUGCACUCUGGGACAAGCCCUGGAAACGGGGUCUAAUACCGGAUAUUGACCUUCACGGGCAUCUGUGAGGUUCGAAAGCUCCGGCGGUGCAGGAUGAGCCCGCGGCCUAUCAGCUUGUUGGUGAGGUAAUGGCUCACCAAGGCGACGACGGGUAGCCGGCCUGAGAGGGCGACCGGCCACACUGGGACUGAGACACGGCCCAGACUCCUACGGGAGGCAGCAGUGGGGAAUAUUGCACAAUGGGCGAAAGCCUGAUGCAGCGACGCCGCGUGAGGGAUGACGGCCUUCGGGUUGUAAACCUCUUUCAGCAGGGAAGAAGCGAAAGUGACGGUACCUGCAGAAGAAGCGCCGGCUAACUACGUGCCAGCAGCCGCGGUAAUACGUAGGGCGCAAGCGUUGUCCGGAAUUAUUGGGCGUAAAGAGCUCGUAGGCGGCUUGUCACGUCGGUUGUGAAAGCCCGGGGCUUAACCCCGGGUCUGCAGUCGAUACGGGCAG